RNAcentral lists this long non-coding RNA (1620 nucleotides) under Androctonus crassicauda. Lineage: Eukaryota; Metazoa; Arthropoda; Arachnida; Scorpiones; Buthidae. The record is from RNAcentral.
CUUGUGCAGUUAAAGGGAAUAUAAAUGUCCAAAAUGCCUAUUUAAAUUUAGCUGUUACUAUAAAGUAAAAACAUAAAACUUUGAACUGAAUACUAAAAAUGUUUUCAUUAACAAAAUUUAAUGUUUAUCUCGAGUUUUAGUUUGGUAUGAUUCAUACAAUAAAACAAAAGACUAACUCAAUUAAGGAAUCAUCAAUAUUACAGUACGCUAAUAUUCAAAAUGCUUAAACCGAACAUACAAUGAUUGUUUCCAGAUAAAAGUCGAUCAUUCUUUUUGGGUUACAUCAUAGUUUAGAAUUACUUUUCAGCGUAUGCGAUUUAUGUGCGAGUUACAUUUAUUUUCGUACUCUUACCAGUUUUACGUAAACAUUCGGGAACAUCAACAUUCUCAUUUCCACAAAUUGAUUCGUUCUACGUUAAAAUCCUAUAUUCACUAUGUAUUAUAUAAUUUCCAGUUUAUCAGUAGAAAUCAUGAACAUGAACAUGAUAAGCACAUGACGCCCACAGACCGCUUACCCGUCAAAAAGCAGAGUCAAACAGGGAAGUACUUUUGAAGGAUAAAUUAUUAUCUUGCAUGUCGCAUGCUGAAAAAAUUACGAUUAAUUCGUGGCUUGAAAUUAAUUAACAUGAUAUUUUUAUAAUUUUUCCCCACUUAUUCGCAAUAACUUAACAGAAAACUGAGUAGGUAAAUGUAACGCGAAUCCGCCGAGCGAUCAUAAAAAACCAUCUUUGGAGAUUAACAUGAAUAUCAAUUUAUCAAGCUUUCCUAGAAUAUAUAAAGCAUAAAGAGAUAUUUAAUAUAAUUAAUUAACUAGCAGAUAACGCACAUCGUGAUAUCUUUAAACAAAAAUUUAAUGAAUAGAUUUUUCGAUUAUAAUAUUCAACAGUAACAAAUAUGUUUCCUUGGCUGUUCUGCAAAUUGAAAUACGAUCUUCUACUCUAAAUUAACACACUUUGAUAAAACGAGAUCAAUGUCACUUUAUUUAAUAAACAAAAAUUUGUCGCAACAACAGUCGACUUCUAACGCACGUGGACAACUGACAAUGCAUCACCAAUUUGUCAUACGUUGUAUGAAAUCCAAACAUAUAAUAUUCGAGUUAACGCCCUGUAUUUCAUAUAUAUCAAAUAUUUUUAAAAUACAUCUCAUAUACUAAAAAUACGUAAUUAAUUCAUGUAUUUUUCAGCUAGAAAAUUUAUCAAAUUACCGUCGAAAUUCCUAAUAUUUUUGCGACUACAAAACUUGAACGAGUACUCGAUUUUUUAAUUAAUGAAUUAAUUUUUUUUUUAUUCGCUUAUGCAGCCCGAAGAAGUGAUUAUGAUUCGAAACCUUUCGCCAGUCGAAGAUUUCGUAAUUUUUUUUUAUUAACAAUAUAAGUUUUAAUUAAGAACGAUAAUCGUUAUUAAUCGAGAACAACUCGAUUAUUAUUGACGUACGUCGAACGAAACUCGAGUUAUCACAAAGCAAUUGUUAAGAGAGACAAGUAAAUUGAUAUCGUUUUAUCAAUAACUGAAACACCGACACAAUUCUGACAAUGACAUCAUUACACGUCAGAAAUUUAGACGGAAUUAUUUUUAAUAAACGGAUAUUGGAUUAAGAAACAAAGUCGGAUAUUACUGCAAU